GUAACAAAAGCGCCAGAACUUAAGUUCGACUGACCAAAUCGAAGAUUUGGAGUCUCACUUGAGUUGACGAGGAUGGGGAGUAUCGAAUCUUCGGCGGGUGCCCCACGGUAUCGCACUACCGUUAACAACUGAUAAAACCAGGAAGCAAUUUCUGAUACAACAU
Molecule: non-coding RNA, 163 nt
Filed under: uncultured Clostridium sp.
Lineage: Bacteria; Bacillati; Bacillota; Clostridia; Eubacteriales; Clostridiaceae
Description: glmS glucosamine-6-phosphate activated ribozyme
Rfam family: glmS glucosamine-6-phosphate activated ribozyme aptamer
About the family: This entry contains a glucosamine-6-phosphate activated ribozyme that is found in the mRNA for GlmS. GlmS is an enzyme that uses fructose-6-phosphate and glutamine to generate glucosamine-6-phosphate.
Source: RNAcentral